CUCCUACUCCCUCCGUCCAAAAAUACUUGUCAUUAAAAUGGACAAAAAGGGAUGUAUCUAGAACUACAAUACAUCUAAAUACAUCCCCUUUUAUUCAUUUUGAUGACAAGUAUUUCCGGACGGAGGGAGUACACA
This is a non-coding RNA of Triticum aestivum (bread wheat), 135 nucleotides long. The record is from Rfam. Lineage: Eukaryota; Viridiplantae; Streptophyta; Magnoliopsida; Poales; Poaceae.